ACCGCAUCUCCCCACUAAUUUAAGCUCGAUCCAUCUUCCUGGAUCUGGGAGCCAAAAUAUCCUCUUCAAUACAAGACCAAAGGGGUCUGCAGGCUUCAGCUAAACCAGAUUUUUCAUACUUGGGAACAAAGGGAACACAUACAUAGAUGGAAUCCCAGGCCCACUGAGAGGCGCUGCUGGAAAUGGAUAGUGAAAAUGAUACAUGGGAGAAUAAGCUGCAUGAUCCAGGUGCAACUCCAAUGUUUAUUUUCGAUGAGUCUCCGGGCCUCCAGUGGAACAUGGGAUAUGAAAUAAUCAAGGAAAUUUGUGAGGGUUUAAAUUACAUGCAGAAGGAGCGCUAUAUUAUUCAUCUGGACCUGAAACCUGAAAAUAUAUUGAUGGAUGCUACUAUGGUGCCGAAA
Lolium rigidum is the source of this 401-nucleotide long non-coding RNA. RefSeq lists it as uncharacterized. The record is from RefSeq and is a predicted model, not a curated record. The transcript is spliced from 3 exons. Lineage: Eukaryota; Viridiplantae; Streptophyta; Magnoliopsida; Poales; Poaceae.